This 505-nucleotide ribosomal RNA is filed under the name uncultured bacterium. Its description in RNAcentral is "bacterial SSU rRNA". It matches the Rfam family "Bacterial small subunit ribosomal RNA", at positions 28 to 521 of the family's 1533-position model. The record is from RNAcentral.
GACGAACGCUGGCGGCGUGGAUUAGGCAUGCAAGUCGAACGGUAUCAUCCUUUCGGGGGUGAGAGAGUGGCGAACUGGUGAGUAACACGUAGGUUAUCUACCCUCAAGACGGGGACAACCCAGGGAAACUUGGGCUAAUACCGGAUGUGAGCAACUUUUAGUUGUUUGAAAGGUGGCGUAAGCUGUCGCUUGGGGAUGAGCCUGCGUCCUAUUAGUUAGUUGGUGAGGUAACGGCUCACCUAGGCAAUGAUAGGUAGGCGGCCUUAACGGGUGGUCGCCCACACUGGGAUUGAGAUACGGCCCAGACUCCUACGGGAGGCAGCAGUCGAGAAUAGUCUACAAUGGUCGGAAGACUGAUAGUGCGACGCCGCGUGAACGAUGAAUCCCUUCGGGGUGUAAAAGUUCUUUUAUAUGUGAGCAGUGCUUCUUAUAUUAACAGUAUGGGGAGAGAGAUAUUAGCAUAUGAAUAAGCAAACGGCUAAACUCCGUGCCCAGCAGCCGCGGU